Molecule: transfer RNA, 26 nt
Filed under: Huttonaea grandiflora
Lineage: Eukaryota; Viridiplantae; Streptophyta; Magnoliopsida; Asparagales; Orchidaceae
Description: partial tRNA-Phe
Source: RNAcentral
GUGGGAUAGCUCAGUUGGUAGAGCAG